AAAGUAAUAAGCGUAAUUACUCGUAUAUGCUCGGAAAUAUGGUCUGAGCGUUUCUACCUGGUUCCCAGUUAAAGAACUAGACUACGAGUUAAAGUAUUCGGCCG
This is a non-coding RNA of Bacillus sp. FJAT-22058, 104 nucleotides long. NCBI's taxonomy places the organism in Bacteria, Bacillati, Bacillota, Bacilli, Caryophanales, Bacillaceae. The record is from Rfam.